Molecule: non-coding RNA, 108 nt
Organism: Acanthosepion pharaonis
Lineage: Eukaryota; Metazoa; Mollusca; Cephalopoda; Sepiida; Sepiidae
Source: the annotation of a GenBank genome assembly
UGGCCACAUCACAUUGAAGCACCAGUUCCUGUAUGAGCAUUGAACUUAAGCAACAUCAUGCUGGGUCAGUACUUAGAUGGGUGACCGCUUGGGAAUAACAGAUGUUAU